This 254-nucleotide ribosomal RNA is filed under the name uncultured bacterium. Its description in RNAcentral is "partial 16S ribosomal RNA". It matches the Rfam family "Bacterial small subunit ribosomal RNA", at positions 524 to 776 of the family's 1533-position model. The record is from RNAcentral.
CACGUAGGCACCAAGCGUUGUCCGGAUUUAUUGGGCGUAAAGAGCUCGUAGGCGGUUUGGUAAGUCGGGUGUGAAAACUCUGGGCUCAACCCAGAGAGGCCACUCGAUACUGCUAUGACUUGAGUACGGUAGGGGAGUGGGGAAUUUCUAGUGUAGCGGUGAAAUGCGCAGAUAUUAGAAGGAACACCAGUGGCGAAGGCGCCACUCUGGGCCGCAACUGACGCUGAGGAGCGAAAGCAUGGGUAGCAAACAGG